AUACGUAGGUGGCAAGCGUUGUCCGGAAUUAUUGGGCGUAAAGCGCGCGCAGGCGGUCCUUUAAGUCUGAUGUGAAAGCCCACGGCUCAACCGUGGAGGGUCAUUGGAAACUGGGGGACUUGAGUGCAGAAGAGGAAAGUGGAAUUCCAAGUGUAGCGGUGAAAUGCGUAGAGAUUUGGAGGAACACCAGUGGCGAAGGCGACUUUCUGGUCUGUAACGGACGCUGAGGCGCGAAAGCGUGGGGAGCAAACAGGAUUAGAUACCCUGGUAGUCCACGCCGUAAACGAUGAGUGCUAAGUGUUAGGGGGUUUCCGCCCCUUAGUGCUGCAGCUAACGCAUUAAGCACUCCGCCUGGGGAGUACGGUCGCAAGACUGAAACUCAAAUGAAUUGGCGGGG
Molecule: ribosomal RNA, 397 nt
Filed under: uncultured bacterium
Lineage: Bacteria
Description: partial 16S ribosomal RNA
Rfam family: Bacterial small subunit ribosomal RNA
Source: RNAcentral